RNAcentral lists this long non-coding RNA (992 nucleotides) under Phasianus colchicus (ring-necked pheasant). RNAcentral's name for it is "lncRNA (ENSPCLG00000016794.1)". Lineage: Eukaryota; Metazoa; Chordata; Aves; Galliformes; Phasianidae. The record is from RNAcentral.
UAAUUGACCCCAAAUCACACAAAAAUGACCCCAAAUCCCACAAAAUGACACAAAAUCCCACAAAAAUGACCCAAAAUCCCACAAAAGUGAGCCAAAAUCCCACAAAAUGACCCAAAAUCACAAAACUUCGCACCAAAAUGAUCCAAAAUCUCAUAAAAUUGAUCCAAAAUCCCACAAAAAUGACCCAAAAUCCCACAAAAAUGACCCAAAAUCACAAAACUUCUCACCAAAAUGACAGUAAAUCUCAUAUAAUUGACCCCAAAUCCCACAAAAUGACCCAGAAUCCCACAAAACUUUGCACCAAAAUGACACAAAAUCUCAUAAAAUUGACCCCAAAUCACACAAAAAUGACCCCAAAUCCCACAAAAUGACACAAAAUCCCACAAACAGGACCCAAAAUCUCACAAAAGUGAGCCAAAAUCCCACAGAAUGACCCAAAAUCACCAGAAUUCGCACCAAAAUGACACAAAAAUCCCACAAAAUGACACAAAAUCCCACAAACAGGACCCAAAAUCCCACAAACAGGACCCAAAAUCCCACAAACAGGACCCAAAAUCCCACAAACAGGACCCAAAAUCACAAAACUUCACACCAAAACGACAAAAUCUCAUAAAAUUGACCCAAAAUCCAAAAAAAUGACCCAAAAUCACAAAACUUCUCACCAAAAUGACAGUAAAUCUCAUAUAAUUGACCCCAAAUCCCACAAAAUUGACCCCAAAUCCCACAAAAUGGCCCCAAAUCCCACAAAAUCCCACAAAAUCCCAAAAAAAUGACCCAAAAUCCCAUAAAAUUGAGCCAAAAUCCCACAAAAUGACCCAAAAUCACCAAAAUUCGCACCAAAAUGACACAAAAUCUCAUAAAAUUGACCCCAAAUCCCACAAAAAUGACCCAAAACCCCCAAAUUGACACAAAAUCCACCAAAAAUGACCCAAAAUCCCCAAAAUUCCCCAAAAUGAUCCCAAAUACCCCCAAAAUGACCCCAAAUUCCCCAA